ACGUAGGGUGCAAGCGUUAAUCGGAAUUACUGGGCGUAAAGCGUGCGCAGGCGGUUAUGUAAGACAGGCGUGAAAUCCCCGAGCUCAACUUGGGAAUUGCGUUUGUGACUGCAUAGCUAGAGUACGGCAGAGGGGGAUGGAAUUCCGCGUGUAGCAGUGAAAUGCGUAGAUAUGCGGAGGAACACCGAUGGCGAAGGCAAUCCCCUGGGCCUGUACUGACGCUCAUGCACGAAAGCGUGGGGAGCAAACAG
This 251-nucleotide ribosomal RNA is filed under the name uncultured prokaryote. Its description in RNAcentral is "partial 16S rRNA". It matches the Rfam family "Bacterial small subunit ribosomal RNA", at positions 525 to 775 of the family's 1533-position model. The record is from RNAcentral.